This 256-nucleotide ribosomal RNA is filed under the name uncultured bacterium. RNAcentral's name for it is "partial 16S ribosomal RNA". It matches the Rfam family "Bacterial small subunit ribosomal RNA", at positions 98 to 354 of the family's 1533-position model. The record is from RNAcentral.
CGGGACGGGUGAGUAACGCGUGGGUAACCUGCCAUAUACAGGGGGAUAACACUUAGAAAUAGGUGCUAAUACCGCAUAAGCGCACAGGGGCGCAUGCCCCGGUGUGAAAAACUCCGGUGGUAUAUGAUGGACCCGCGUCUGAUUAGCCAGUUGGCAGGGUAACGGCCUACCAAAGCGAUGAUCAGUAGCCGGCCUGAGAGGGCGGACGGCCACAUUGGGACUGAGACACGGCCCAAACUCCUACGGAAGGCAGCAG